Long non-coding RNA from Chiloscyllium plagiosum (whitespotted bambooshark), 2183 nucleotides. RefSeq lists it as uncharacterized. Lineage: Eukaryota; Metazoa; Chordata; Chondrichthyes; Orectolobiformes; Hemiscylliidae. The record is from RefSeq and is a predicted model, not a curated record.
CAGGAUCCUUCCCCUAGUCAAAAUGGAACGUAUCAACCCUUGGAACAUUAAGUGCCUCAAAUGUUACAAUCUCUAUUUAACCAGCUGCCAUUCUCCACAGGUAUAAUUUACAAGAACACAGAGUCAGAGAAAAGCAAAUUCAAGAAAUAAUCACAGCUACGUAUCAAGAACAUCUACUUUUGGAGCAGCUGGCAUAUACAAGAAAUCACAACAGGAGAGCAUGCUGUUUCAGCAGAGAUGCUGCAAUUUAAUCUGAAUGCUAUUUGAGCACAUUGAGAGCAGGAGAUACUGACUGCUCAAUAUCUAUGGCAUGAAACUGGCCUACUUGGAGGAAGUGGCAAAGUGAUACUGGAUUCUAAACUUCACAGCAUUCCCAGGUUUGCAGGCAACUGAUGCAAGAAAUUAAAUACCUGACCAAGCUUCAGGCAGAGACAUCCUUCAGGACUCAGCCAGUCAAGUCAGUCUUGAUGUCUCUAAACUACUUUUGUUGAUGGUCAUUGAAGUCCACACCUGAAUUACAUUCUGUCAUCCUGCUACUUUCAAUAUUUUUUUCAAAUGGUGCUCACCAUGGAGGCACAUUAAUUCAUUAACUGGGAAUUCAAGGAACGGGACAAAGUCAUCCAGCAAAGCAGAUGGGAACAUCACAAUGUGCUCAGAAAUUAUCUUUGGCACUUAAGAUUAGGUCUAUGUCCAUGUACCUCUGUUGAAAUAAUCAUAGGAGAGGGGGAACAGCAGAUGGUUAAUUUCUACAUGUAUUAAUAUUUUUCCUGAAAGUAAACAUAUGUAUUUAUCUUUGCUGACCAGUUAUACUCUUUCCCUAAUGGUGAAGCAGCUUCUAAUAAGAUCUAAGGAAACCUUCAUUGUUCAAUGCUGCUGCUGAUUUUAAAGAGGUGUCAUCUGCAUUAAAUGUCAAACUUGGAAUUAGGGGAAAUCAAUCACUGAAGUUCGAAAAUAAAAUGUACACAAAAACAUAUGACAUUGAGCAUAGUACACAGUAACUCUUGAAAUGCUAUCUAAUUGUAAUUAACUGUGGUAGCAAAUCAUAUCUCAUUACUUUUGAUUUUAAUAGGUUGUUUAUAUCAUUAAUGAAUAAUCCAGACUGUUGGACUUUUAGCCUAAAGAUUUUGAGUUCAAAUCCCAUUAUGGCAUUUUGAGAAUUUGGAAGAAAAUCAGGAAAUAGAAAAGCUGACAUCAGUAAAACUGUGAAUGUGGGCACUACCCUCACUCACCUUUGGCCUGAGAUGCCCCAUCUAUUGGGUGGGUGCAUUAUUGGCAGCUGCCAAGUCUCCUAGUAGUGCUGACAACAAUGUGAUGCUGCCUUAGACUGAUUGGUAGACUUCCAUCCCUGGGAAGGCCAAUGAAUGACCAUUUAAUGCCUGACAGGCUUUUCAUUCAUGUUGGAUCUCUCCCAUGGAACUGAGAGAGAUACUCAGGCUAUCCAGCUAUCACUUAAGAACAUGAUUGGGCCUAUUAAAUCCUGCUUGAUGAAGCUAUUGGAUUAUCAUAAAGACAAAUGAGAUUAAUUAAAACAGAAAUUGCUGUAAAACCAGCAGUUGUUCAUUUAAAAAUAACUCCUUUGUUUUCUCUUUGCCUUUCUGCCAUUCUAAGUGAUAUUCUCCUGGAUGGUAAGAAUGUCUGUGUCCAAAGUCUUUGCCAAUGUCAGUCCGUAACCAUCUGCUGGAAAAGUGAUAAAGUUGACUUGUUCCUUAAUUUUAUUCAGCUCACAGGAAAGAUUCUGCUUUUAGUGUUUUGUAUUUUUUUUUCUUUAAGAGUCUUCUUCCUUUUGAAAUCUAGGAACUUUAUCUCCAAGGGUAUGGCUUAUGCUUAGAAAAUUUCCAAACGUAGCUUUUCUAACGUAAAACAACAACAAAUCAACUGUUGUACAAUAGUCUAGUGCUGCAACUCAUCCAGAUCAAACUAUGUCCACCCAUCUGCAUGAGUUUAACUUUCCUUUUACCACUUACCUCAACUGGGAUUUCCACCACAUUUAGUCUGUGAUCUUUGUCCCUGUACAUAUAAUUUGUGAAAAUUCUAGAUUAUAGAUAAAUGCAAAUGGUUUAAAACAGAUAAGUCCUGUGUGCUUGAAAAGUGGAAGCUUAGGUCCAUGUGACUGUAUAAUAUCUGACCAAUUUGCUUCAAAGCCUUGUCUGAAUUAUCUGCUUGAAAUAUACAAUUGAUUAAAU